Molecule: ribosomal RNA, 253 nt
Filed under: uncultured bacterium
Lineage: Bacteria
Description: partial 16S ribosomal RNA
Rfam family: Bacterial small subunit ribosomal RNA
Source: RNAcentral
UACGUAGGCAGCAAGCGUUGUUCGGAAUUAUUGGGCGUAAAGGGCGCGUAGGCGAUCUGAAAAGUUCUGUGUGAAAGCCCACAUGUUAACUGUGGAAGUGCACAGAAAACUGUUGGAUUUGAGUUCAGGAGAGGAAGGCAGAAUUCCCGGUGUAGCGGUGAAAUGCGUAGAGAUCGGGAGGAAUACCAGUGGCGAAGGCGGCCUUCUGGACUGACACUGACGCUGAGGCGCGAAAGCCAGGGGAGCAAACGGG